GAUGAACGCUGGCGGCAUGCCUUACACAUGCAAGUCGAACGGCAGCACGGGAGCAAUCCUGGUGGCGAGUGGCGAACGGGUGAGUAAUAUAUCGGAACGUGCCCAGUCGUGGGGGAUAACGUAGCGAAAGCUACGCUAAUACCGCAUACGAUCUAUGGAUGAAAGCGGGGGAUCGCAAGACCUCGCGCGAUUGGAGCGGCCGAUAUCAGAUUAGGUAGUUGGUGAGGUAAAGGCUCACCAAGCCGACGAUCUGUAGCUGGUCUGAGAGGACGACCAGCCACACUGGGACUGAGACACGGCCCAGACUCCUACGGGAGGCAGCAGUGGGGAAUUUUUGGGACAAUGGGCGCAAGCCUGAUCCAGCAAUGCCGCGUGCAGGAUGAAGGCCUUCGG
This 393-nucleotide ribosomal RNA is filed under the name uncultured bacterium. RNAcentral describes it as "bacterial SSU rRNA". It matches the Rfam family "Bacterial small subunit ribosomal RNA", at positions 28 to 421 of the family's 1533-position model. The record is from RNAcentral.